UACGAAGGGGGCUAGCGUUGUUCGGAAUCACUGGGCGUAAAGCGCACGUAGGCGGAUCGUUAAGUCAGGGGUGAAAGCCUGGAGCUCAACUCCAGAACUGCCUUUGAUACUGGCGAUCUUGAGACCGGGAGAGGUGAGUGGAACUGCUAGUGUAGAGGUGAAAUUCGUAGAUAUUAGCAAGAACACCAGUGGCGAAGGCGGCUCACUGGCCCGGUACUGACGCUGAGGUACGAAAGCGUGGGGAGCAAACAGG
Molecule: ribosomal RNA, 253 nt
Filed under: uncultured bacterium
Lineage: Bacteria
Description: partial 16S ribosomal RNA
Rfam family: Bacterial small subunit ribosomal RNA
Source: RNAcentral